UCUCCUGGAAAACGGGUGGUAAUGCCGGAUGCUCCAGUUGGAUGCAUGUCCUUCUGGGAAAGAUUCUAUCGGUAUGGGAUGGGGUCGCGUCCUAUCAGCUUGAUGGCGGGGUAACGGCCCACCAUGGCUUCGACGGGUAGCCGGCCUGAGAGGGCGACCGGCCACAUUGGGACUGAGAUACGGCCCAGACUCCUACGGGAGGCAGCAGUGGGGAAUAUUGCACAAUGGGCGCAAGCCUGAUGCAGCGACGCCGCGUGCGGGAUGACGGCCUUCGGGUUGUAAACCGCUUUUGACUGGGAGCAAGCCCUUCGGGGUGAGUGUACCUUUCGAAUAAGCACCGGCUAACUACGUGCCAGCAGCCGCGGUAAUACGUAGGGUGCAAGCGUUAUCCGGAAUUAUUGGGCGUAAAGGGCUCGUAGGCGGUUCGUCGCGUCCGGUGUGAAAGUCCAUCGCUUAACGGUGGAUCCGCGCCGGGUACGGGCGGGCUUGAGUGCGGUAGGGGAGACUGGAAUUCCCGGUGUAACGGUGGAAUGUGUAGAUAU
Molecule: ribosomal RNA, 542 nt
Filed under: Bifidobacterium adolescentis
Lineage: Bacteria; Bacillati; Actinomycetota; Actinomycetes; Bifidobacteriales; Bifidobacteriaceae
Description: bacterial SSU rRNA
Rfam family: Bacterial small subunit ribosomal RNA
Source: RNAcentral